AUUUUAGGUUAGAAUAUGUUAAAAUACAAUGAAUUUGAUUGAUUACAAGUGCUAGAGAUGCAUGAAGAAUGCUAAGAAGUGAGAAGAAAGACUUGUUGAAAUUUGGUCUCAAAUGGGAUAAGAACCCAAAACCAUUGCUUUGAGGCAAUGAAUGGCUUGUAUAAAGUUAUUUUGGAUUAGAAUAUCUUAUAAUACAAUGAAUUUGAUUGAUUACAAGUGCUAGAGAUGCAUGAAGAAUGUUUAGAAGUGAGAAGAAAGACUUGUUGAAAUUUGGUCUCAAAUGGGAUAAGAACCUAUAACCAUUGCUUUGAGGCAAAGAAUGGAUUGGAUAAAGUUAUUUUGGGAUAAUAUGUUAUAAUACAAUGAAUUUGAUUGAUUACAAGUGCUAGAGAUGCAUGAAGAAUGUUUAGAAGUGUGAAGAAAGACUUGUUGAAAUUUGGUCUCAAAUGGGAUAAGAACCCAAAACCAUUUCUUUGAGGCAGUGAAUGGCUUGUAUAAAUUUAUUUU
This 507-nucleotide long non-coding RNA is filed under the name Capsella rubella. RNAcentral describes it as "long non-coding RNA (CRUB_LNC000065)". The record is from RNAcentral. Lineage: Eukaryota; Viridiplantae; Streptophyta; Magnoliopsida; Brassicales; Brassicaceae.